This 468-nucleotide ribosomal RNA is filed under the name uncultured bacterium. Its description in RNAcentral is "partial 16S ribosomal RNA". It matches the Rfam family "Bacterial small subunit ribosomal RNA", at positions 28 to 507 of the family's 1533-position model. The record is from RNAcentral.
GACGAACGCUGGCGGUGUGCUUAACACAUGCAAGUCGAACGGUAAGGCCCUUUCGGGGGUACACGAGUGGCGAACGGGUGGGUAACACGUGAGUAACCUGCCCUCAUCUCUGGGAUAACAGUCGGAAACGGUUGCUAAUACUGGAUAUGAGCUUGCAAGGCAUCUUGUGGGUUGGAAAGAUUUUUUUUGGUUGGGGAUGGACUCGCGGCCUAUCAGCUUGUUGGUGAGGUAGUGGCUCACCAAGGCUUCGACGGGUAGCCGGCCUGAGAGGGCGACCGGCCACAUUGGGACUGAGAUACGGCCCAAACUCCUACGGGAGGCAGCAGUGGGGAAUAUUGCACAAUGGACGGAAGUCUGAUGCAGCAACGCCGCGUGCGGGAUGACGGCCUUCGGGUUGUAAACCGCUUUCAAUUGUGACGAAGCUUUUUUGUGACGGUAGCAGUAGAAGAAGCACCGGCUAACUACGUG